GGCGCGGUAACAAAGCGGUUAUGUACCGGAUUGCAAAUCCUGAGUAGGUCGGUUCGACUCCGGCCCGCGCCUCCA
RNAcentral lists this transfer RNA (75 nucleotides) under Polaromonas sp. P2-4. RNAcentral describes it as "tRNA-Cys". It matches the Rfam family "tRNA". Rfam says of the family: Transfer RNA (tRNA) molecules are approximately 80 nucleotides in length. Their secondary structure includes four short double-helical elements and three loops (D, anti-codon, and T loops). Lineage: Bacteria; Pseudomonadati; Pseudomonadota; Betaproteobacteria; Burkholderiales; Comamonadaceae. The record is from RNAcentral.